This 233-nucleotide ribosomal RNA is filed under the name uncultured bacterium. RNAcentral's name for it is "partial 16S ribosomal RNA". It matches the Rfam family "Bacterial small subunit ribosomal RNA", at positions 118 to 348 of the family's 1533-position model. The record is from RNAcentral.
UGAGGAACAUGACUUUCGGUGGGGAUAGCCGGCCCAACGGCCGGGUAAUACCGCGUACGACCUUUUGGGGACAUCCUUGAUUGGUGAAAGCAGCAAUGCGCCGAAAGAGUGCCUCGCGGCCUAUCAGCUAGUUGGUGGGGUAAUGGCUCACCAAGGCAACGAUGCGUAGCCGACCUGAGAGGGUGAUCGGCCACAUUGGAACUGAGACACGGUCCAGACUCCGUACGGGGAGG